GACGAACGCUGGCGGCGUGCUUAACACAUGCAAGUCGAACGGAAAGGCCUUUUUGGGGGUACUCGAGUGGCGAACGGGUGAGUAACACGUGGGUGAUCUGCCCUGCACUCUGGGAUAAGCCUGGGAAACUGGGUCUAAUACCGGAUAGGACCGCACUCUAGUGUGUGUGGUGGAGAGUUUUUUCGGUGUAGGAUGAGCCCGCGGCCUAUCAGCUUGUUGGUGGGGUAAUGGCGUACCAAGGCGGCGACGGGUAGCCGGACUCUGAGGGUGGUCGGACACAUUGGGACUGAGAUACGGCCCAGACUCCUACGGGAGGCAGCAGUGGGGAAGAUUGCACAAUGGGCGCAAGCCUGAUGCAGCGACGCCGCGUGGGGGAUGACGGCCUUCGGGUUGUAAACUCCUUUCGCCAGGGACGAAGCGUUUUGUGACGGUACCUGGAGAAGAAGCACCGGCUAACUACGUG
This 463-nucleotide ribosomal RNA is filed under the name uncultured bacterium. RNAcentral's name for it is "partial 16S ribosomal RNA". It matches the Rfam family "Bacterial small subunit ribosomal RNA", at positions 28 to 507 of the family's 1533-position model. The record is from RNAcentral.